Molecule: ribosomal RNA, 406 nt
Filed under: uncultured bacterium
Lineage: Bacteria
Description: partial 16S ribosomal RNA
Rfam family: Bacterial small subunit ribosomal RNA
Source: RNAcentral
AUUGAACGCUGGCGGCAGGCCUAACACAUGCAAGUCGAACGAGUGGCGGACGGGUGAGUAAUGUCUGGGAAACUGCCCGAUGGAGGGGGGUAACUACUGGAAACGGUAGCUAAUACCGCAUACCAUCGGAUGUGCCCAGAGGGGAUUAGCUAGUAGGUGGGGUAACGGCUCACCUAGGCGACGAUCCCUAGCUGGUCUGAGAGGAUGACCGGCCACACUGGAACUGAGACACGGUCGAGACUCCUACGGGAGGCAGCAGUGGGGAAUAUUGCACAAUGGGCGCAAGCCUGAUGCAGCCAUGCCGCGUGUAUGAAGAAGGCCUUCGGGUUGUAAAGUACUUUCGGCGAGGAGGCGUUACUCGCAGAAGAAGCGCCGGCUAACUCCGUGCCAGCCGCCGCGGUAAUUC